CCUACGGGCGGCAGCAGUGGGGAAUAUUGGACAAUGGGGGCAACCCUGAUCUAGCCAUGCCGCGUGUGUGAAGAAGGCCCUCGGGUUGUAAAGCACUUUCAGUGAGGAAGAACGCCUGGUGGUUAAUACCCAUCAGGAAAGACAUCACUCACAGAAGAAGCACCGGCUAACUCCGUGCCAGCAGCCGCGGUAAUACGGAGGGUGCGAGCGUUAAUCGGAAUUACUGGGCGUAAAGCGCGCGUAGGUGGCUUGAUAAGCCGGUUGUGAAAGCCCCGGGCUCAACCUGGGAACGGCAUCCGGAACUGUCAAGCUAGAGUGCAGGAGAGGAAGGUAGAAUUCCCGGUGUAGCGGUGAAAUGCGUAGAGAUCGGGAGGAAUACCAGUGGCGAAGGCGGCCUUCUGGACUGACACUGACACUGAGGUGCGAAAGCGUGGGUAGCAAACAGGAUUAGAUACCCUGGUAGUC
RNAcentral lists this ribosomal RNA (465 nucleotides) under Vreelandella stevensii. RNAcentral describes it as "partial 16S ribosomal RNA". It matches the Rfam family "Bacterial small subunit ribosomal RNA", at positions 338 to 795 of the family's 1533-position model. Lineage: Bacteria; Pseudomonadati; Pseudomonadota; Gammaproteobacteria; Oceanospirillales; Halomonadaceae. The record is from RNAcentral.